UACGGGGGGGGUAAGCGUUGUUCGGAAUUACUGGGCGUAAAGGGCUCGUAGGCGGCCAACUAAGUCAGACGUGAAACCCCUCGGCUUAACCGGGGAACUGCGUCUGAUACUGGAUGGCUUGAAUCCGGGAGAGGGAUGCGGAAUUCCAGGUGUAGCGGUGAAAUUCGUAGAUAUCGAGAGGAACACCGGUGGCGAAGGCGGCCAACUGGACGAAUACUGACGCUGAGACACGAAAGCGUGGGGAGCAAACAGG
This 253-nucleotide ribosomal RNA is filed under the name uncultured bacterium. RNAcentral's name for it is "partial 16S ribosomal RNA". It matches the Rfam family "Bacterial small subunit ribosomal RNA", at positions 524 to 776 of the family's 1533-position model. The record is from RNAcentral.